GACUUUCCAAUAAACCAAAUAAGCUGUCGAUUAAUGUGACUUAGCAAGUUUUAAUAAGAGGAAUACAAAUUCAAAAUGUCAUGUCCUGUGGCAUGUUGCUAAGUGCUUGCAUUGUGCUGCUUGCAACAUUCAAAAGUUGCAAAUACUCAUCCGCUCCGUCAACAAGACACUUGUCUGCUUCAGCAAAUUUCUUGCAUAUUCUUGCUUUUUGUUCAUCAGAAAUGUCGUCUGCAUCAACUAAUAUAUCAUACAACUGAGACAGCAUCUGAGAAACAGGAUAUCCUUCUGCAAUGACAUUGUUCACUUCUUUGUUUGCCAAGUCAAAAUUGCCACUUCUGCAAGCUGAGAAUAUAGCCUGAACAACUUCAUUUGGGAUGACCCCAGACACACUAAUCAGUUCCUUUGCUGAUAUGGAAGAUCCAAAUAACCGAGCAGCACUUUGUAAGUAUGUAAUAGCCCUUCGCAAAUCACCUUGAGAAAUUGAACUGAGGGUAGAAAGAGCCUCUGAAUCUAGAUUAAGACCUUCUUCUUUACAAAUAUGCAAUAUUCGGCUGCCCAUUAUUUCUUCAGGAAGUGGCUUGAAUCUGAACUUCGCACAUCUAGAAGCAAGUGGCUCUAUGAUCCUGCUGAUGUAAUUACAAAUGAAGAAGAAUCUUGUAACUUUUGAAUAUGUCUCCAUAGUUCGUCGCAAGGCAUUUUGAGCAUCUUGAGUCAUUGAAUCUGCUUCAUCAAGGAUUAUGAUCUUAAAAGGUGGGCAAGGAUAACCACUUUGCCGAUUAGAACCUACAGCAACAGCAGCAAAGUUCUUAAUUUUUGUACGAACUACAUUGAUACCACGGUCAUCACUAGCAUUUAGCUCCAAUACCCUCGAUUUAUACAGCUCAGGUCCGAAAAGCUGAUGGGCAAUGGCAAGAGCAGUGGUUGUCUUUCCAGUUCCAGGAGGACCAUAAAACAACAUAUGCGGGCAGUUAGAAGUCUCGAGAGUGUUGGUGAGGACUCGAACGACUUCAUCCUGGUGAGCUACAUCCUUCACUUGCUUCGGUCGAUAUUUCUCGACCCAUGGCUGAGAGCUCUGCAUAACUGGCGCCAUAGCUGUUCUCUUUCUUUUGUCAGAGUGCUG
RNAcentral lists this unclassified non-coding RNA (1120 nucleotides) under Hevea brasiliensis (rubber tree). Lineage: Eukaryota; Viridiplantae; Streptophyta; Magnoliopsida; Malpighiales; Euphorbiaceae. The record is from RNAcentral.